AUACGGAGGGUGCAAGCGUUAUCCGGAAUCAUUGGGUUUAAAGGGUCCGUAGGCGGGCUAAUAAGUCAGGGGUGAAAUCCAACAGCUUAACUGUUGAACUGCCUUUGAUACUGUUAGUCUUGAAUUAUAUGGAAGUAGAUAGAAUGUGUAGUGUAGCGGUGAAAUGCUUAGAGAUUACACAGAAUACCGAUUGCGAAGGCAGUCUACUACGUAUAUAUUGACGCUAAUGGACGAAAGCGUGGGGAGCGAACAGGAUUAGAAACCCCAGUAGUCC
This 274-nucleotide ribosomal RNA is filed under the name uncultured bacterium. RNAcentral describes it as "partial 16S ribosomal RNA". It matches the Rfam family "Bacterial small subunit ribosomal RNA", at positions 523 to 796 of the family's 1533-position model. The record is from RNAcentral.